Molecule: ribosomal RNA, 510 nt
Filed under: uncultured bacterium
Lineage: Bacteria
Description: partial 16S ribosomal RNA
Rfam family: Bacterial small subunit ribosomal RNA
Source: RNAcentral
GACGAACGCUGGCGGCGUGCUUAACACAUGCAAGUCGAACGAAGAGCGACGGAAGCUUGCUUCUAUCAAUCUUAGUGGCGAACGGGUGAGUAACGCGUAAUCAACCUGCCCUUCAGAGGGGGACAACAGUUGGAAACGACUGCUAAUACCGCAUACGAUCUAACCUCGGCAUCGAGGAUAGAUGAAAGGUGGCCUCUACAUGUAAGCUAUCACUGAAGGAGGGGAUUGCGUCUGAUUAGCUAGUUGGAGGGGUAACGGCCCACCAAGGCGAUGAUCAGUAGCCGGUCUGAGAGGAUGAACGGCCACAUUGGGACUGAGACACGGCCCAGACUCCUACGGGAGGCAGCAGUAGGGAAUCUUCCGCAAUGGACGAAAGUCUGACGGAGCAACGCCGCGUGAGUGAUGACGGCCUUCGGGUUGUAAAGCUCUGUUAAUCGGGACGAAAGGCCUUCUUGCGAAUAGUGAGAAGGAUUGACGGUACCGGAAUAGAAAGCCACGGCUAACUACGUG